CCUACGGGUGGCUGCAGUGGGGAAUAUUGCACAAUGGGGGGAACCCUGAUGCAGCAAUGCCGCGUGGGUGAAGAAGCACUCCGGUGCGUAAAGCCCUGUCAGCAGGGAAGAAAAUGACAGUACCUGGACAAGAAGCCCCGGCUAACUACGUGCCAGCAGCCGCGGUAAUACGUAGGGGGCAAGCGUUAUCCGGAUUUACUGGGUGUAAAGGGAGCGUAGACGGCGCGGCAAGUCUGAAGUGAAAGGCAGGGGCUUAACCCCUGAACUGCUUUGGAAACUGCCAUGCUAGAGUGCUGGAGAGGUAAGUGGAAUUCCUAGUGUAGCGGUGAAAUGCGUAGAUAUUAGGAGGAACACCAGUGGCGAAGGCGGCUUACUGGACAGUAACUGACGUUGAGGCUCGAAAGCGUGGGGAGCAAACAGGAUUAGAUACCCCUGUAGUC
This 440-nucleotide ribosomal RNA is filed under the name uncultured bacterium. RNAcentral describes it as "partial 16S ribosomal RNA". It matches the Rfam family "Bacterial small subunit ribosomal RNA", at positions 338 to 795 of the family's 1533-position model. The record is from RNAcentral.